GCCCAAAGUCGGUUUAGCAAACUUCGGAUGCGACUGCCUAAGGCAGGAUUGGUGACUGGGGUGAAGUCGUAACAAGGUAUCCCUACGAGAACGUGGGGAUGGAUCACCUCCUUUCUACGGAGUACAACUUACACUUUUUUUGGUAUAAAAAUCUUCGCUACAAUGUUUAAUUACUUUUAGCUUGAAGUCGAUGUGUUAGCGCCAGCCAAAGCGCCUUCUAAUAUUCAGUUUUGAGAGUUCUAUUUUAUUUAUAGACCAAUUAGAUCUUUGAAAACUGAAUAGCAUAAAUUAAUAUGAUAACGACAUCAAAAAUAUAGAAAAUAAAUUAAAUUUUAUUAUUAAAUAAUUUUGAUCCGAGUUGAGUAGCCAUUGAGCUACUCUAUAGAUACCUUAAGAUACACAUCAAAAAAAUAUAAAAACAUUUGUUUAAUAGGCAAAUAAAAAUAGAAAAAACGAUUACUUUUAAAUAAGAAAGAGUUUGUAGUGG
RNAcentral lists this unclassified non-coding RNA (487 nucleotides) under uncultured Mycoplasma sp. RNAcentral's name for it is "partial may contain 16S ribosomal RNA, 16S-23S ribosomal RNA intergenic spacer, and 23S ribosomal RNA". The stretch from base 1 to 114 matches the Rfam family "Bacterial small subunit ribosomal RNA", at positions 1419 to 1533 of the family's 1533-position model. Lineage: Bacteria; Bacillati; Mycoplasmatota; Mollicutes; Mycoplasmatales; Mycoplasmataceae. The record is from RNAcentral.